RNAcentral lists this ribosomal RNA (238 nucleotides) under Gambierdiscus australes. RNAcentral's name for it is "partial Eukaryotic large subunit ribosomal RNA". It matches the Rfam family "Eukaryotic large subunit ribosomal RNA", at positions 3047 to 3342 of the family's 3401-position model. The record is from RNAcentral. Lineage: Eukaryota; Dinophyceae; Gonyaulacales; Pyrocystaceae.
UUGGUUCGGAUAUUUGGUAAUGGGGUUGGCUGAACAGCCAAUGCCCCGAAGCUAUCAUCCGUAGGAUUAUGACUGAACGCCUCUAAGUCAGAAUCCAUGCUGGCAGCGACGAUAUUCACCUUGACCGGUGUUUUUGUACCGAUAGCCUUAUGGUCAACACGCUACUUCACCACACUACCAAAUGUUGGUCGAGUUAAAUCCUCUGUAGACGACUUGAAUGGAACGGGGUACUGUAAGC